GACGAACGCUGGCGGCGUGCUAAUACAUGCAAGUCGAACGAGAGCGACCGGUGCUUGCACUGGUCAAUCUAGUGGCGAACGGGUGAGUAACACGUGGGUAACCUGCCCAUCAGAGGGGGAUAACAUUCGGAAACGGAUGCUAAAACCGCAUAGGUCUUCGAACCGCAUGGUUUGAAGAGGAAAAGAGGCGCAAGCUUCUGCUGAUGGAUGGACCCGCGGUGCAUUAGCUAGUUGGUGAGGUAACGGCUCACCAAGGCCGUGAUGCAUAGCCGACCUGAGAGGGUGAUCGGCCACAUUGGGACUGAGACACGGCCCAAACUCCUACGGGAGGCAGCAGUAGGGAAUCUUCCGCAAUGGACGCAAGUCUGACGGAGCAACGCCGCGUGAGUGAAGAAGGUUUUCGGAUCGUAAAACUCUGUUGUUAGAGAAGAACAAGUGCUAGAGUAAGCUGUUAGCGACCUUGACGGUAUCUA
This 473-nucleotide ribosomal RNA is filed under the name Granulicatella adiacens. RNAcentral describes it as "bacterial SSU rRNA". It matches the Rfam family "Bacterial small subunit ribosomal RNA", at positions 28 to 481 of the family's 1533-position model. Lineage: Bacteria; Bacillati; Bacillota; Bacilli; Lactobacillales; Carnobacteriaceae. The record is from RNAcentral.